UGGGUGUACUGGAAUGACAGUUGUGAGAG
RNAcentral lists this non-coding RNA (29 nucleotides) under Mus musculus (house mouse). The record is from RNAcentral. Lineage: Eukaryota; Metazoa; Chordata; Mammalia; Rodentia; Muridae.